RNAcentral lists this long non-coding RNA (761 nucleotides) under Nicotiana benthamiana. RNAcentral's name for it is "long non-coding RNA (NBEN_LNC011654)". Lineage: Eukaryota; Viridiplantae; Streptophyta; Magnoliopsida; Solanales; Solanaceae. The record is from RNAcentral.
AAAGGCAGACUAAAUGUAUAUGAAGAACAAUAAAGAGAAAGAAACCAUACAAUACAAAUUGAAACCAUUUGAGAUAAAUAAUAAUACCAGCUACAAUUUUACACAAAGCCUUACUAACUAGUUCGAAUCCUUCAAACAAAAAACAAAAAAUCGGAAGAAACAAACUAAGAAGCAAAAAAGACUACAUUUUUCACAUAAACACAUGUAAAUCAAAAAUCAGGUCUAACCCAUUAAAUACAUGAAAGUCAAAAAUGAACCUGGAAUUUCAUUAACUUAAUGAAACUCUAGUAGUUACACGGGCUAAUCGAAUAGACAAUUGCGAUCAGGUCUCGACACGACGAUUCUCAAACCAACGGGCUCGAAUAACAAAUUGUUUCCCAAAUUUGAAUUUGACCGCGCAACUUCAACAAAGAUGGGGAUGUGAACAAGAUGAAGAAUAAAGGGUCGUUAUGGGGACGAAGCAGAAGAAUGAUGAAGUAGCAGCAUUGGUCGUUUAUGGUUGCUGCUGGACGAUGUGAUGUACGGCUGACUGGAGUGGAUCACGGGCUCGUUGUGACGUUGAAGCAGAAGCUGGUGACGGGAAAAAGCUGGUCGUGGGGGAGCAGCGAUGGGUCUAUCUGGAGAUGGUUGUUUGGCAGUGGGGUCGUCUCGGGUGGUUUCAUGGGUGUUCAUGGCGAUGGGGACUGGUGGAGGUGAUUUGGAGAAGAAGAAGAGAAGGGAGGGUGUGUUAGAAAGUUAAAGUUAGGUUUUUAGGUUUUUUU